Molecule: ribosomal RNA, 235 nt
Filed under: uncultured bacterium
Lineage: Bacteria
Description: partial 16S ribosomal RNA
Rfam family: Bacterial small subunit ribosomal RNA
Source: RNAcentral
CGGCGGACGGGUGAGUAACGCGUAGGAAUCUGCCCAAUAGUGGGGGAUAGCCCGGGGAAACUCGGAUUAAUACCGCAUACGCCCUACGGGGGAAAGCAGGGGAUCUUCGGACCUUGUGCUAUUGGAUGAGCCUGCGUUGGAUUAGCUAGUUGGUGGGGUAAGGGCCCACCAAGGCGACGAUCCAUAGCUGGUCUGAGAGGAUGAUCAGCCACACUGGAACUGAGACACGGUCCAG